Molecule: long non-coding RNA, 395 nt
Organism: Homo sapiens (human)
Lineage: Eukaryota; Metazoa; Chordata; Mammalia; Primates; Hominidae
Source: Ensembl
CCUAAGAAGAUGUAGAUAAAGUGACUGCAAGGACCUCCGCUGACCUGAGCACUUCCUGCAUGAAAGGGGCUCAAUACCAAGGAAGAAAACAGAUACAUGCACCCUUUCUAAGUAGCAAAACUGGGUUCAAAUCCUCGGCUACAUCACUUAUGUGAGAUGAAGUCCCACUAUAUUGCCAAGGCUGGACUUGAAUCCCUAAGCUCAAGUAGUGUUCCCACCUCACCCUCCCAAGUAACUGAGACUACAGGUGCACACCACUGUACCAGCAUAAUUGCAUAUCUUAUCAAUCAAUCCACAGCCACUAAAUACCUACUGAGGUAUCUGUGUCCCCUGGGCUUUUUCCAAGAGCUUUCAAUAUGGUUAGAUUUGUUUAUUAAAUUUGCAUAAAUAUGUGA